Molecule: small RNA, 3106 nt
Filed under: Pongo abelii (Sumatran orangutan)
Lineage: Eukaryota; Metazoa; Chordata; Mammalia; Primates; Hominidae
Description: retained intron
Source: RNAcentral
AGUCGUGGUCUGGUGCACGAAGUGUGAGCAGCAAGAUCCUAGAUACUCACCUUACACCUUGGUGCGGAUAACAGAGGCAGAGAUGAGGGCCUAUCACCGUUUAGUAGGAAGUUGCAUCAGGCUAGAAUAUAUGGCAAAAAAAGAUGAAAUUAUGCAGCAGGAAGUCAGGCCCUUGAUGGCAGUGGAGAUAAUAGAACAACUUCACAGACAAUUUGCCAUUCUUUCAGGAGGCCGAGGGGAGGAUGGCGCCCCCAUCAUCACGUUCCCAGAGUUUUCGGGGUUCAAACACAUCCCAGAUGAAGACUUCUUGAAUGUCAUGACCUACCUGACGAGCAUCCCCAGUGUGGAGGCUGCCAGCAUUGGAUUCGUUGUUGUUAUCGACAGACGAAGAGACAAGUGGAGCUCCGUAAAGGCAUCCUUGACACGAAUAGCUGUGGCAUUUCCAGGAAACUUACAGCUCAUAUUCAUCCUUCGUCCAUCUCGCUUUAUCCAGAGGACAUUCACUGACAUUGGCAUUAAAUACUAUCAAAAUGAAUUUAAAACGAAAGUGCCGAUCAUCAUGGUAAACUCUGUCUCUGACCUUCAUGGCUACAUCGACAAAAGCCAACUGACCCGGGAAUUAGGGGGGACUUUGGAAUAUCGCCACGGUCAGUGGGUAAAUCACCGCACUGCCAUCGAAAACUUUGCCUUGACCUUGAAGACCACUGCCCAGAUGCUGCAGACAUUUGGGGCCUGCCUGGCCACAACAGAGCUGCCCAGAAGCAUGCUAUCCACGGAAGACCUUCUCAUGUCCCACACAAGGCAGCGGGACAAGCUGCAGGAUGAGCUGAAAUUACUUGGAAAGCAGGGGACCACAUUGCUGUCAUGCGUCCAAGAACCAGCAACCAAAUAUCCAAACAGCAAACUCAACCUCAAUCAAUUUGAGAAUGUAACUACCAUGGAAAGGUUAUUAGUUCAACUGGAUGAAACAGAAAAAGCCUUUAGUCAGUUUUGGUCUGAGCAUCAUCUGAAGCUUAACCAGUGCCUACAACUACAGCAUUUUGAGCAUGACUUUUGUAAGGGUCUUGCUCUGUCACUCCGGCUGGAGUGCAGUGGUGUGAUCAUGGCUCACUGUAGCUUUGAUCUUCUGGGCUCAAGCUAUCCUCCCACCUCAGCCUCCCAAGUAGCUGGAACUACAGGCAUGCCCCACCAUCACACCCGGCUAAGCUUGCCCUGGAUAAUUUGCUGGAAGAGCAAGCAGAGUUUACAGGCAUUGGAGACAGCGUGAUGCACGUGGAGCAACUUCUUAAGGAACACAAAAAACUGGAGGAAAAAAGCCAGGAGCCCCUGGAAAAGGCCCAGCUGCUGGCACUGAUUGGGGACCGGCUCAUCCAAAGCCACCAUUAUGCAGCAGAUGCCAUCAGGCCCCGGUGUGUGGAGCUCAGGCACCUCUGUGACGAUUUCAUCAAUGGAAACAAGAAAAAAUGGGACAUUUUAGGAAAGUCCUUAGAGUUUCAUAGACAACUGGACAAGGUGAGCAAAACACAGCCAAGAACAUGAUGUCUGCAAGAUUUUCUGUGAAGAAGCUUCCAUCAUACUUGUCCUCCCUUCCUUGCAUGAUUGCUGAGAGGCUCGAGUGCUUUAUAUGAAAAGAUGUUCAAGAGGCAUUAAAAACUGCAGAUCCUAGGUUGUAGAGGUACUGAAGGUAAAAAGUGCUCUGGCCAUCCCACCACAUCCCAUUAAAGUUAACUAAAGCCCAUUUCUAUCUGUGUGGAGCCAGACUUUAAGAGUGUGUUUUGGCCUGGCCCUGUGGGAACACUUCUUGAUUCCCUUUCAGGUGUACAGAGAACCAAGCACUAUAUUUGCAGAGUGCUUCCCUCAUAUAAAGGCAAAGGGUUUUGACUCUUUUUGGAGAAGCUUAAGUAAUAAUGACCAUUCUAUACUCCCUACCAUGUAUCGAGCACCUACUCUAUUCCUACCAGGAACAUAAUUAUGUCAUCUAUUUAUAAUCCUCAAGACAACCUCUGAGGAAGGUAUUAAUGGCCUCAUUGUGCAGAGGCAGAAACUGAUACUCUGCUGGGUCUCAAAAUGUAGCACACGAGAAUCACCUAGUGAGCUGUUAUAUGGCAGAUUCCCUUAUGCACCACCCUGGAGACUCAGCGUCAGUAGGUCUGGAAUACUGCCCAGGAACUAGUAUUUUAGUAAAGUGCCCAAAUGAUUCUGGUGCAGGUGGUGCAGGGAUGACACCAAGAAACCCUGGGGUAAGUGACUGCCCAAGACCACACAUGGUGCACACAGGGGAAGCCAGAAUUGAAGUCAGGCCUGCCAGAUUCCACACCAAGGCUUCACAGGAUAGAUAGCAAGGGCGCAUGCCAGGGGCCCACAGGGAGAGGGGUGUGCAGACCCUGGUGCCCUUUGGAGGUGACCUCUAGGGUAUGUUCCCAGUCAGCAGGAGCAGCGGUUUCUGGAGUCUUCCCUGUCAGCUGGUCCCAGGCAGCAUGUGGCUGAUGGCAAUGAGUCAGCAUGCUCCAUCCCCACAGCUAUUCCUCUUGCAUGGCAGGGGGCACCCACCCGGGCUGCUUACCUCAUCCCAUUGCUAAGGGGAUUUUAAUGUCAAUGAAAUAUAGUUGUUUCAGAAGCAAGUAGCUCCGAAGGGGCUGGUGCGCAGCAUGCUCUGUGUGCUGAGCUUGCUGCGGGAUCAGCUGCUGUUUUCCCAACUCCAUUUUUGCUCCAGAGAUAAUAAGCCUGGUGUGUGUGUGUGUGUGUGUGCGCGUGCACGUGCACGUGUGUGUGUGCGUGCGCAUGUGUGUAUGAGAAAGAGAGAGGGAGACAGAGAGAGAAAGCAAGUAGCCAUAGUAACUCUACAGAAAAUCCCAGCCUAAUGUUUUUUGCAGAUCUAGGCAUGAUGUGUAAAGAGAAAGUUUUCACAGCAUAUAUCAAAGCAUGAGUUCAUAUUAUUGUGGAAAUCCAAAAAUGUAGGAAGAAAAAGGUUACUCAUGGGCACGUACAUAUCCCACUAUCCCCCAUCUCUACAUAAUGGUAAUUAUUAAUUCUGAAAUAUCUUUAUGAUUUUUUAUUACUCUAAAUGUGGUACAUAUUCACUGUAAAUAAAAAAAAAGACAAAAAU